AUGUGCCCUUCUCAGUCCUUCAGCACUGGCUUACAGCGGGAGGUGGCAGCCAACUGUGGCUUAUCUCCAUCAGUUCUGCUGUUAUUCAAGAGAGUUCAAACAUGGCCGCCAGCUCAGGGCCGCGGACAGCCGAUGGAUGUCACGUGGUACAGGAAAAUAUCCUUCACGGCCUCAGACGACGUCAUCUGGAGCCGGAUCUGCUCUGUAUCAGCUGAGGGAGCCAAUCAGGUUGGAUCUUUGAAAGAAAUAUUUAUUGCGAACUCAAAUGUACAGUUGUAUGUUACAGAUCCUCAUUUUCUGGACUAUUCUGGUGAUGCUCUGGUGACCAACCUGCUCUGCUCUCCCACACACGUGUCCUGUCACUUGAACCCCAAUAAAUAAAUAAAGUGCUCCACAUACAGCUGGAUCCAACGCAGUUCAUGCACUAAUGAUUAUUACGUUACAUACUCAUAUCAGUGAAUUUACAGGUCAUUAGUGGCUUUCUAAGAGUCAAACAUCUAGCAAUCUAAUAAGGCAAAUCAUUUUAAAACAUAGGGAAUGGUCAUUUACAAAGGGGUAUUAUGGGUAGUCAAGGUAAAACAACAAUUCUGCAAAAAAAAAGCAAUCAAAAAUAAAUUUCCACGCAAAAUAAAGAAGAAUAACUGAUUUUUUUCCCCCUCUGCAGACUGGCAGGGAGGUGACCUUCCAUCUGUAACGCCAACAUUUGGCAUCGUAGUAACGCCUUACUAUCAGCAGAGGGGGCGUGCAGCGGCACGUGUGUUUGUGUGCGUGUAGGCGCUCGUGCGUGUUCAGGACCACUGGCAGGAACAGUCGGUGGGCUCCUGGAUGCUGUAGCUGACCCAGGUGGAGUUGCUGCUGCAGUACAGCUGCACGAAGCGCCGCUGCAGGCCGGUCUCUCGGCAGCACUUGCAAAAGCGAGCGUACGUGUUGAUGUUGUAGUUGUAGAUGCUGGCCGACGGACACUUCCCAUCACAUGACACGAUGUUCACCUGCAGGAUGUAGCCAUGGCAACUGAGCAGGAAUGACUCUGGUCCACAUUUUAAUCUGUUUUACCUCCUGUGAGUAUUAAUAUCCUGUUUAUCUGAGUCUACACACAAGUGCACACAAACUAGCAAAUACCACAUCUCAAUAUCACAUCUCAACAGACGACCAACGUACCGGCCUGUUACUGCGACAGUCGUUCUUCCUGAUCGUCAUCCUCACUGUCACUUUCUGACACGACUUCCCGUCUUCUUUGCCUGUUUGCGUGAAGACAGACUCAAUAAGAUUAAGCUAAGAUAACUGGAGGCGUGUAAAACAAGGAUGUGAGCUGUUGAAGGUCGACAGGACGAAGAAAAAGAUGCCGAAGAGGAGAAAGAAGAGACGAUGCAUAUCAUGCUGUUGAGAAAUUUCACUGGAGGGAUGAGAUGAAGUAAUAAAGCGGGGGAAAUCCAGAGAACAUAAAUGUGGUAGAAGACUAUCACAAACAAACCUGCAGUGGUGGAAGGUUUAACCGCAUGAAUGAGUGAGCUGUAGGUGUUCAGGUGAAAGGUCACCAAUGACAGCUGAGCUCUGCUUCCAAUUUUAUGGAGGGAAACUUGACACCCAAUUAACAACACCAUAAGAAUGACACAACAACCGUCUGUAAUGCACGAGAUUAAAUGGCCACCAAGUCAUUAUUUCCGAUUAAAACGUCCCAGCGACAAUAAAGUCUCCUGGAUAUAUUCAAAAUGUUCUACUUUAACCCUUGUGUGGUGUUCGGGUCUGUGGGGCCCGUUUUCACUUUUAAUUAAAAUUAAAAUGAUCAAAUUAAUCAAUUUUU
This is a long non-coding RNA of Takifugu rubripes (torafugu), 1801 nucleotides long. The record is from Ensembl. NCBI's taxonomy places the organism in Eukaryota, Metazoa, Chordata, Actinopteri, Tetraodontiformes, Tetraodontidae.